RNAcentral lists this ribosomal RNA (497 nucleotides) under uncultured bacterium. RNAcentral's name for it is "partial 16S ribosomal RNA". It matches the Rfam family "Bacterial small subunit ribosomal RNA", at positions 28 to 507 of the family's 1533-position model. The record is from RNAcentral.
GAUGAACGCUGGCGGCGUGCCUAAUACAUGCAAGUCGAGCGAACGGACGAGAAGCUUGCUUCUCUGAUGUUAGCGGCGGACGGGUGAGUAACACGUGGAUAACCGACCUAUAAGACUGGGAUAACUUCGGGAAACCGGAGCUAAUACCGGAUAAUAGUUUGAACCGCAUGGUUCAAAAGUGAAAGACGGUCUUGCUGUCACUUAUAGAUGGAUCCGCGCUGCAUUAGCUAGUUGGUAAGGUAACGGCUUACCAAGGCAACGAUGCAUAGCCGACCUGAGAGGGUGAUCGGCCACACUGGAACUGAGACACGGUCCAGACUCCUACGGGAGGCAGCAGUAGGGAAUCUUCCGCAAUGGGCGAAAGCCUGACGGAGCAACGCCGCGUGAGUGAUGAAGGUCUUCGGAUCGUAAAACUCUGUUAUUAGGGAAGAACAUAUGUGUAAGUAACUGUGCACAUCUUGACGGUACCUAAUCAGAAAGCCACGGCUAACUACGUG